RNAcentral lists this ribosomal RNA (866 nucleotides) under uncultured bacterium. RNAcentral's name for it is "bacterial SSU rRNA". It matches the Rfam family "Bacterial small subunit ribosomal RNA", at positions 21 to 880 of the family's 1533-position model. The record is from RNAcentral.
GGCUCAGAAUGAACGCGGGCGGCGUGCCUAACACAUGCAAGUCGGAUGUGCCGCAAGGUGCAUGGCAGACGGGUGAGUAACGCGUAGGGAAUCUACCUCUUUGUGGGGAAUAACGCUCCGAAAGGAGUGGUAAUACCGCAUGAGACCAGUGGCUGGGAUGCUGCUGGUGAAACCUGGGGACCGCAAGGCCUGGGGCAAGGAGAGGAUCCUGCGUCUGAUUAGCUAGUUGGCGGGGUAAUGGCCCACCAAGGCGACGAUCAGUAGCCGGCCUGAGAGGGUGAUCGGCCACACUGGAACUGAGACACGGUCCAGACUCCUACGGGAGGCAGCAGUGGGGAAUUUUGCGCAAUGGACGAAAGUCUGACGCAGCAACGCCGCGUGGGUGAUGAAGGUCUUCGGACUGUAAAACCCUGUCGUCAGGGACGAAGGCUGAGAGGUUAAUAACCUUUUAGCUUGACGGUACCUGGAGAGGAAGCCCCGGCUAACUCUGUGCCAGCAGCCGCGGUAAUACAGAGGGGGCAAGCGUUAUUCGGAAUUAUUGGGCGUAAAGGGCGCGUAGGCGGUUUUUUAAGUCAGAUGUGUAAUUCCCGAGCUUAACUUGGGAACUGCAUCUGAGACUGGAAGGCUAGAGUACUGGAGAGGGUGGUGGAAUUCCUCGUGUAGCGGUGAAAUGCGUAGAGAUGAGGAGGAACACCAGUGGCGAAGGCGGCCACCUGGACAGUAACUGACGCUGAGGCGCGAAAGUGUGGGUAGUAAACAGGAUUAGAUACCCUGGUAGUCCACGCUGUAAACGAUGAACACUUGGUGUGGAGGGAGUUGACCCCUUCCGUGCCGGAGCUAACGCGUUAAGUGUUCCGCCUGGGGAG